GCUCAGGAUGAACGCUAGCUACAGGCUUAACACAUGCAAGUCGAGGGGUAGCAGGGUAGCAAUACCGCUGACGACCGGCGCACGGGUGAGUAACACGUAUCCAACCUUCCCAUAACUCGGGGAUAGCCUUUCGAAAGAAAGAUUAAUACCCGAUAGUACUUAUAUAGGGCAUCCUACAUAAGUUAAAGAUUUAUUGGUUAUGGAUGGGGAUGCGUUCCAUUAGAUAGUUGGUGAGGUAACGGCUCACCAAGUCUUCGAUGGAUAGGGGUUCUGAGAGGAAGGUCCCCCACAUUGGUACUGAGACACGGACCAAACUCCUACGGGAGGCAGCAGUGAGGAAUAUUGGUCAAUGGGCGAGAGCCUGAACCAGCCAAGU
This 376-nucleotide ribosomal RNA is filed under the name uncultured Bacteroidales bacterium. Its description in RNAcentral is "bacterial SSU rRNA". It matches the Rfam family "Bacterial small subunit ribosomal RNA", at positions 22 to 397 of the family's 1533-position model. The record is from RNAcentral. Lineage: Bacteria; Pseudomonadati; Bacteroidota; Bacteroidia; Bacteroidales.